Molecule: transfer RNA, 86 nt
Filed under: Candidatus Beckwithbacteria bacterium GW2011_GWC1_49_16
Lineage: Bacteria; Candidatus Beckwithiibacteriota
Also listed under: 1 other name
Description: tRNA-Tyr
Rfam family: tRNA
About the family: Transfer RNA (tRNA) molecules are approximately 80 nucleotides in length.
Source: RNAcentral
GCUGAGGUGCCGGAGCCUGGAAAACGGAGCUGUCUGUAAAACAGCUGCUCGCUCGAGCUACGGGGGUUCAAAUCCCUCCCUCAGCA